UAGAUAUAAAUAAAGAUGAAAGCAGCAGCACAGGAUUGGGUGGCGUUUUUGUUUUUGUUUUGUUUCGUUUCGUUUCGUUUCGUUUUUUGGUUCUCUUCUUCAUUCCGCAAG
This 111-nucleotide non-coding RNA is filed under the name Licmophora paradoxa. The record is from RNAcentral. Lineage: Eukaryota; Bacillariophyta; Fragilariophyceae; Licmophorales; Licmophoraceae.